This is a long non-coding RNA of Arachis stenosperma, 757 nucleotides long. RefSeq lists it as uncharacterized. The record is from RefSeq and is a predicted model, not a curated record. Lineage: Eukaryota; Viridiplantae; Streptophyta; Magnoliopsida; Fabales; Fabaceae. The transcript has 3 exons.
AGGAUCGCUGCUGAAGCUUCGACCGCCGUUGCUAAGGCUUGUCGCCAGAGCCACGACCAUCGCUGUCAAAAGGAGUCGCUACCAGAGGAAAAGCCUAUCGUCGUUGAACCCAGCACAAGAGAGAACAAACCUAAAACAGGGGGAAGAGAGAGAAAUGCGACGGAAGAGGGGUCACCGUCACGCUUACUAUCGCCGUCGACAGAGCUCGUUAUCGAAGAGACAUCACUAGCGCCGCUACUGCUGACCCAUCUCAGCCACUGCCUUGGUCUUGUUCAGUCACCGUAAUCUUCUUGGUUCUUGUCUUUGAACCCGCAACAUCUACGAUUUAUUUUGGUUGUUUGUCAGUUUGUUGUCACAAAAAAAACACCACUUUCGGAGUCACUUUCGCUUGCUCAACUCUGCCUGUUUUUGAGUCCCUUUUUUGCUUUCCAAAACCAUUAUUGUCGUGGUGGUUGCCAUUGGAGCUAUUUGUGUUGAAUGAAACUGUCACUGUUGAGCUGCUCCACCACCGUUGUUGCUGGAGGUGACUGCCGGAACUAUUAUUGUGCCAUCUUGCCUUAUUCUUCAUGGUCGCUAUAUUGUUGGUUGGAAAUCAUGAGGUUCCUGCCGCUACUGUGAAUCAAAAAUAAAAAGGGGUGGUUCGUCGUGUUUAAUUUCUGAGUUUUGACUAAUUAAGGUAUUAUUGGGCUUUUAAUCCGUCUUUGAAAACUCUCAGAUCCAUUUAAUACAAUGCACGUUUUUAUUGGGCUGAUCUGCA